This 21-nucleotide non-coding RNA is filed under the name Arabidopsis thaliana (thale cress). The record is from RNAcentral. Lineage: Eukaryota; Viridiplantae; Streptophyta; Magnoliopsida; Brassicales; Brassicaceae.
CUUCCAGGACCAAACCACGUU